This 285-nucleotide unclassified non-coding RNA is filed under the name Strongyloides stercoralis. RNAcentral's name for it is "partial 18S small subunit ribosomal RNA". It matches the Rfam family "Eukaryotic small subunit ribosomal RNA", at positions 1348 to 1650 of the family's 1831-position model. Lineage: Eukaryota; Metazoa; Nematoda; Chromadorea; Rhabditida; Strongyloididae. The record is from RNAcentral.
GUUAUAUUAAAUAUUAUUAUUUUGUUUAUUUUAAUAUAAAUAAUUAAUAUUUUAAUAACAGAUUAAUAGUGUUUAACUAUUUGAGAGAGAGCGAUAACAGGUCUGUGAUGCCCUUAGAUGUCCGGGGCUGCACGCGCGCUACAAUGUAGUGAUCAUUAUGUUCCUGUUUAGAGAUAAAUGGGUAAACAUUGAAAACAUUACGUAACUGGGAAUGAAAAUUGCAAUUAUUUUUCAUGAACGAGGAAUUCCAAGUAAACGUAAGUCAUUAGCUUACAUUGAUUACGU